Oncorhynchus masou masou (cherry salmon) is the source of this 1381-nucleotide long non-coding RNA. RefSeq lists it as uncharacterized. The record is from RefSeq and is a predicted model, not a curated record. NCBI's taxonomy places the organism in Eukaryota, Metazoa, Chordata, Actinopteri, Salmoniformes, Salmonidae. The transcript is spliced from 5 exons.
ACAAGUAUGGAACGUGCGGAGUUGAAUAGCAAGACAACGAACUUUGAAUUUGCUGAUCAGUGCACUAGCUGACAGCAACAAUUGUGCAACUUCAAUUUACUAAAGAUACUUUACCAGAUUCUGUGAGCAAUGACUUUCUGAACAUUAACAAAUUCAACGAGCAGCAAUUUACAAGUCUGACUGAGAUUGUUUUCAAUUUCCUAUUGGAUCCAAAAGAGAUGACCAGGCUCUUGCAGCAGCUGAGUGAGUUUGCAGAGGAGAAUGGGAUGAGUGCAGGCCCUCUGAGAAACCUUAUGAAGAGUUUCAUGCUGCUUCCCUAUGCAACAUAAAAUGGACAAUGUUUAUUUGAACUCAAAACCAAGAUUGGAAGAAAAAAAUUCCAGGUGCCCUGAAGAAAAAUCUGACGGCAGACCAAGUCUAAGAGGACCUUCUGGCUUUAGAGUUGACCCUCCCCCGGUUUUACAACUACCUCCAUGAAAUGGAGAGGGCCAAAGCCAGUAUGGACUGCUUCAGCUGAGCUUUAUCACCAGUAACAUGAGAAUGUACUGAAUGUGUCCUUGAGGGACAGGAGGAAACAUGAAUGGAGUUGCCAGCGACAGUGGUUGACAUUGGGUCUGCCCGAAAUGGCAUACUGUUCCCAUUAUGGGACAAUACUUUUGAACGGGGGCAAAGUAGUGCACAAUAUAGUGAAUAGAGUGCAAUUUGGGACGUACAAUGAGUUCAAAAUAGAACAUACAGAAUCUGAAGGAAACGUCCAGAUUCUCACAUACCAUUAAACGAUUUCAAUAUUUUGUCUUUUGAAAUGUGCACAGUUGUUUUUCGCAGUAGAGAUUUUGUGUGCGUGAGAAACUCUUUGCGGGUGUGUUUUGAAUUGUAACCCAAUUACUUUAAUUCCAUUGGCUGUCACUACAAGUGAUGUGAGGCAUACAUGUAACUGUUUUUUUGUUGUUGCAAUCUAUAAUCAUUUGUAUCACAGAUUUCCUUCAGUUUAUUUUGUCUAUUUUAUUAAGUAUUCAGAUGUCAUAUUGGUCUGCUGCAGUGGCGUGCCGUGGGCCUGGGGCCUGGGCCUUCAGUGAGGUCCUACACAGUCCCACCCGAAUUAAUCCACCUCUUAUUACCAUCAUUAUGAUGCCAUGGCUCUAGACACUAUACAUUUAGAUAGGAAAACAGUAUAACCAAGUUGUGCGUCACCUUGAAAUUGAAAUUUUUAUUCAGAAAAUUGCAGGGGAAGAGUACAAUACAGUACAGUUCAACUAAUAGGCAAGAACAUAGUCGAGUGCAACAGAGUUAUAUUAAUAUUCUUCUUCUAUCCAUUUCUGGUCCACAAACUUUGAGCUUUAAGUUAAAAAAUAAAUAAAUACACUUCCUGUUUACCCAAAAA